RNAcentral lists this ribosomal RNA (325 nucleotides) under uncultured eukaryote. RNAcentral's name for it is "partial 18S ribosomal RNA". It matches the Rfam family "Eukaryotic small subunit ribosomal RNA", at positions 1470 to 1796 of the family's 1831-position model. The record is from RNAcentral.
CCCUUAGAUGUUCUGGGCCGCACGCGCGCUACACUGACGAUGUCAACGAGUCUCUCCUUGGCCGAAAGGUCUGGGUAAUCUCCAAAUUUCGUCGUGAUGGGGAUAGAUUAUUGCAAUUAUUAAUCUUCAACGAGGAAUGCCUAGUAAGCGCAAGUCAUCAGCUUGCGUUGAUUACGUCCCUGCCCUUUGUACACACCGCCCGUCGCUCCUACCGAUUGAAUGGUCCGGUGAAGCGUUCGGACCGUGGCCUUUGGACGGUUCGCCGUCUGUUGGCUGCGGGAAGUUCGUUAAACCUUAUCAUUUAGAGGAAGGAGAAGUCGUAACA